GUGCUCGCUUCAGGAGCACAUAUACUAAAAUUGGAAUGAUACAGAGAAGAUUAGCGUGGCCCCUGUGCAAGGAUGACACACAAAUUUAUGAAGCAGUCCAUAUUUAA
Molecule: small nuclear RNA, 107 nt
Organism: Callithrix jacchus (white-tufted-ear marmoset)
Lineage: Eukaryota; Metazoa; Chordata; Mammalia; Primates; Cebidae
Source: Ensembl